This 550-nucleotide long non-coding RNA is filed under the name Marmota monax (woodchuck). Lineage: Eukaryota; Metazoa; Chordata; Mammalia; Rodentia; Sciuridae. The record is from RNAcentral.
GCCAAAUCCUCCAGUUGUUGCUGCUUUGGCAGAAGAUGAGGGAUAUGGUCCCCCGUCCACAGAGGGAAUACACAGCUCAACCUGCAAGUAGUAGGUGUUAACCAUGAGGAGAUGAUCCAAAGCUGCCAGGCACACCAUCUCCUGAAAGCAUAGUCUAGUAGGGCUGUGUCCUCCUGCAUGCACAAACCACCAGUGUCUCCUGGGGCAUCUGUGGCUGCUGUUCUGCCUGCUGUCACCAGGUGGCACCGUCUCCUAGCUUAUUCCUCUUCCCAGUUAAGACCCAUCAAGAAUGGCCUGGCAGUGUGUUAGGAGACAGAGGAAGGAAAACUGGGGUCCACACCAAGAAUCCUCCCACGGACAAGCUUCAGGCCUGCCUGGCCACCAGUGACCCAGUGCCUCCCCAGCUCUGGUCCAUGGUGAUCUGGGCCUGAGGGUCCUCACUUACUGUACUGCUAGCAUUUAGGAUGUGGAUCAGAGUUCCUUUUCCUCACAGGGGGCUGCUGAAUGGCCCUGCUGAAUUGUCACUGUCCCUGUGGACAGACCAUUGGCC